UACAGAGGGUGCAAGCGUUGUUCGGAAUUAUUGGGCGUAAAGCGCGUGUAGGCGGCUUUGCAAGUCGGGUGUGAAAGCCCGAGGCUCAACCUCGGAACUGCCUUCGAUACUGCGGGUCUCGAGUCCGGGAGAGGUGAGUGGAAUUCCUAGUGUAGAGGUGAAAUUCGUAGAUAUUAGGAAGAACACCAGUGGCGAAGGCGGCUCACUGGCCCGGUACUGACGCUGAGGCGCGAAAGCGUGGGGAGCAAACAGG
Molecule: ribosomal RNA, 253 nt
Filed under: uncultured bacterium
Lineage: Bacteria
Description: partial 16S ribosomal RNA
Rfam family: Bacterial small subunit ribosomal RNA
Source: RNAcentral